AAUCCGCAACAGACAGAACAGUACUUCACUCUUAUUGCCCAACAAUCAAGACAGUCUCGCUUUCAGGCUCAGGUGGCCAUGAGGGGAGGUGGGAAAUCAGAACUGAAAAGUCUUGUGAAAUGUUAAGGCAGGGAUGGAGCUUUGACUGGUCCCAAUGACAAACUGAGAUAUGCACGUUCACUAUUUCAGGGACUUGGGAAUGCCGACAGUCGUUGUUAACUGGUCAGUUUGUGACUACUUUAAUUUUAAUUCAUUAAAAUUAUAUAACUAAUCUGCAUGUACUAAUUUGCACCACCAUCAACGGAUUGGCAGUGUCAUG
RNAcentral lists this long non-coding RNA (319 nucleotides) under Prunus persica (peach). RNAcentral's name for it is "long non-coding RNA (PPER_LNC007501)". The record is from RNAcentral. Lineage: Eukaryota; Viridiplantae; Streptophyta; Magnoliopsida; Rosales; Rosaceae.